UGCAAAGAUGCAGGGACAUAAAG
Molecule: non-coding RNA, 23 nt
Filed under: Mus musculus (house mouse)
Lineage: Eukaryota; Metazoa; Chordata; Mammalia; Rodentia; Muridae
Source: RNAcentral